AAAGGAUAAAAAUUGAACUAAGAAUUGUAGAGCUUUACCCGGAAGGGAGCUCUUCCAGAAAUUCUCGAAGGCCCAAGACAAGCUUAGGCCUAGGAGGGGGUUUGGAAAUAGUUUUCAACCAGCAAUAGACGCGCCUCGGUUAAGACCUCAUUAGCUGCGUCAUUGCCCCAAGCGCAAAGAUGACUUUCUACAGAGUGAGAGCCU
This 204-nucleotide small RNA is filed under the name Arabidopsis thaliana (thale cress). RNAcentral's name for it is "ATSL259420". Lineage: Eukaryota; Viridiplantae; Streptophyta; Magnoliopsida; Brassicales; Brassicaceae. The record is from RNAcentral.